Molecule: long non-coding RNA, 110 nt
Organism: Phyllostomus discolor (pale spear-nosed bat)
Lineage: Eukaryota; Metazoa; Chordata; Mammalia; Chiroptera; Phyllostomidae
Exons: 3
Source: RefSeq, a predicted model, not a curated record
CUGUUUUGUUGUUCAUUCAGCCACCCUAUCACUUUUGAUUGAAAUAGUUAAUCAAUUUACAUUUAAAGUAAUUGUUAAUAGAUAUUGUCAUUUUUCUUAUUCAUUUUUUU